CUUUUCAGACCACAAGUGGGCUUGGGCUAGAAAGGAGGAGAAAAGGAAGGAAAACCACUGCAGGAGGAAUCUUUGCAAGGGAUGUCAGGAAUACAUAAACUAAAGCAGAAUGAAAGGAGAAAAUGGAAGGAUAAACAAGAGAGAGAAAUUAAUGAUAAGUAGGAGCUGCUGUCCUAACUGAGGUCCUCUCCAUUGCCACACUGUGUGGAGGGGAUAUUAAAUAUGCAAG
Long non-coding RNA from Cyanistes caeruleus (blue tit), 229 nucleotides. RefSeq lists it as uncharacterized. NCBI's taxonomy places the organism in Eukaryota, Metazoa, Chordata, Aves, Passeriformes, Paridae. The record is from RefSeq and is a predicted model, not a curated record.